Molecule: long non-coding RNA, 935 nt
Filed under: Anas platyrhynchos platyrhynchos (common mallard)
Lineage: Eukaryota; Metazoa; Chordata; Aves; Anseriformes; Anatidae
Description: lncRNA (ENSAPLG00000030659.1)
Source: RNAcentral
GCCUGUCUUGAUCCCACUCCCCUGGUGCCCCCAGCCGGAGCUCCCAGCAUCACGGGUGCGUGGCUGGUCUCUGCUAGGUCCCCCCGGGUCCGGCAGGAGCAGGGAGGGUGCGUGGGUGACACGCAGGGGGCUGUUUGUGUGGGACUGACCACCCCGCUUUUCCCCCAGCCAGAGGAGGUGGCCCAGGAGGCUGUGGAGGAGCCGCUGGUCGAGCCGCUGCUGGAGCCGGAGGGGGAGAACUACGAGGAGCCCCCACAGGAGGAAUACCAGGAGUACGAGCCAGAGGCAUAAUGGACCCCCGUCCUUGCCUCUUCCACCAGCAGCACAACGAACCGCCGUUCCGUUCCAAGGGACCGUGUCCGUGUCUCCGUACCGUGUCUAGCAGUGAGAAACCCGCUGUGUCCAAGCCCCGGAGCCCCGGCGCGUGCCCGAGCCGUGGGUGCUGCCCGCAGGGGCCGGUGUGCGUGCGUGUGUGCGUGCGUGUGUGCCCGCCGAGCCCGGGUUUAUCGCCCUGUGUCCCUCCCAGCGCCAUAAACCCGGCUGCUCCCGGCGUGUCUGUGUCUGUACAAAGCAUGUUGACCUGCUCGCGGGCUGCUGUACAUUCCGCUUGCACGCGUGUCCCCGUGGUUCUGCUCUGGUCGUCGUGGAACUAUUUUUUUUUUAUAUAUAUAUCUCUAUCUAUGGGUGGACGGGUCUUUUGCCUUUGUGAGCCCUGGGCGCCCCAGCCCGCUCCCCAGCCUGCUGGGUGGUGACGGUGCCCGUGCCCCCCCUCCCUCUGCCCCCGAGGUCCCGUAGUGCCGACGCUGUGUUGUGACGUGGCAUGGAUAUCCCCUCGCCCCCGUCGCUGGAUGUGCAAUACGAGGGCAGCUGCCAGUGACACAGCUGCCCCUGUGUCCGUGAAUAAAGCCAACUCUUGUCUGUAGCCCCCUGGUCCU